RNAcentral lists this unclassified non-coding RNA (348 nucleotides) under rhizosphere metagenome. RNAcentral's name for it is "partial ribosomal RNA internal transcribed spacer region". The record is from RNAcentral.
GUAGGUGAACCUGCGGAAGGAUCAUUAUACGUUUCCAACGUACCAACCACGUGAACUCGUUUUAGAGUCUGCGGACCUGUUUGAGGGCGCCAAAGUAUGGUGGGCGUGCGCAGCCGCAAGGCUGUGUGCGCUGUUUGGCGCUCUGCAUCGCACCCUUCACCGGGGGCGUGACAACUCGUCUCGUAGCAACCAUUUCCUAUUUUAUUUACAUUUUUAAACGCAUUGUACCUACUUCGUACUAACACUUUGUGAAGUCGGCGCGGAACGAAGCUUCGGCUUCCGGACACACCGAUGAACUUAAGACUAUUAAUUGCUGAACAACUCUUAGCAACGGAUAUCUUGGUUCUC